ACAGCCAAAUAUAACAGAGUAUCUGUUUAUUUUUCUGCUCAAGGUCAUCCUUAGUUUUAAUUUGUAGCAACCUGAAACAUGUAAUCAAAAUUUAGAUAAGCACAAAAUGUUUGCUUAUAUUUUAUCUAUGAACACUCAAUAUGGAAAUUGCUGAAAAAGUUUCAUGAACAUAAUGACUUCAAUUUUUGUCAUUCUGUAACAUCAAGUUAUUUAUAUGGUAAUGUGAAUUUUAUCUAGACUGUAUAAUUUGAAGUCAUUGAAACCUUUUGUGUAAGUUUUCCAAUGAUUUACAAGACAUCGCAAACUUUUCUUAAGGAUGCUGAAUAAAAUAAUCUUUAGACAAAUUUCUUCUCGGCAUCAAUUCCAGUUUGUAUUUUAGAGAAAAUUUUAAAAACAUGUCUUUAAUGAAAAAGCAUUUACUUUUGUAGCAUUUUACCUACACAAGUUAAGAAACAAAUAUAGUAUAACAAGAACCUGUACUUUACAUAUCAAUAAUUUUGAAUUCAUACAAUUCCAUGUAGAUUUUUAAUGUUUUUCUUUAUAUAUGCUCAUGGUACAUUAUUAUUAGUCUCAUACUGACAAAGGUGAAAGGGACUUUAUGUCUGUACUCUGUCUGUUUCCCAUUUGUAAGUCAGCAAAUCAGAUUUCCAGUUUCUUCUUUGUGCUUGAAGAUUAACUGAUAUUGAUUUGAUAUUUAGUACCUUAUUUUAUCAUGACAAGUUUCAAUUCAAAUUUGAAUUAUGUUCCAGUCUGAUGAUUUUGAGCAGAGUUAUGGUCCUUGGACUUAGAAAAAAUCUCGUAAAUAAUCAGUUUUCCACUUUUUUCGUCUUGCUCGAAGAUAUUGAUUAGGUAUUUGAUAUACUAUUUCAUCAUGACAUGUUAUAUUUAAGUUUGAAUUUUGUUCCAGUCUAGUGAUUGUGUUGAGAGUUAUGGUCCUUGGACUUAUAAAAUUCACUCAAAUAAUCAGUUUCCCAACCUUUUUUUCGUCAUGCUUGAAGAUAUUGAUUUGACAAUUGGUAUAUAGUUUUAUCAAGUAAGCAUUUUGUUUCAGUACACAUAUUUUUGAACCAGUAGGGGACUAUAUAUGCAUUGCCAUGCAAUAAUCUCAGAAUACUUGUUAUUACUUUUUAGCUUUUGAUUUGUAGAAUGUCUUUCAUUACAAGUGCAAUUUUUUGUAGAACUAGAAGUAGUUUUACAGAAUUAUGGGAUGUUAUAUAAACUUAGUGCUGAUGUUAUUAUUCUGUCAAUUGCUUAAAGAUAUACAUGUACAUGAAAAUAAAUGUCUUAAAGUUAGAACGAAGGAGAUGAGAACCAUUUAUGAUUUCUUGUUCCCCAAAGUUUAAACGAAAAUCUGAAAAUUUUUAUCUAUUAUUUUUUUUUUAAACAAAAGGAAAUAUAAGAAAAACUAUUUCUGUCUCUGACAAUAGAACUAAUAAAAAUGCUUGCUUAUAUUGUUUUUUUCCAUGAUGUUUAGAAAAUAGCAUGCUUAGUUUUAGGGUAUUUUCUGAAAGUGUUUUGAGAAUUCUUUUUGUUAUCCAUUUCUGUAAAGACUAAUGGUAUUCAGUACUGUUUGGUACAUAAAUUCACAUAUCUUGUACUUGAUAAUGGUGGGUUUAAAAAUGAAAGUAAGGUUGUUUAUAUUGAUGCAGUUUAUAACUACAAAUAAAUGUUC
RNAcentral lists this long non-coding RNA (1672 nucleotides) under Mytilus galloprovincialis (Mediterranean mussel). The record is from RNAcentral. Lineage: Eukaryota; Metazoa; Mollusca; Bivalvia; Mytilida; Mytilidae.